UACGGAGGGUGCGAGCGUUGUCCGGAAUCAUUGGGCGUAAAGGGCGCGUAGGUGGCCUGCUAAGCGUGCGGUGAAAGUCGGGGGCUCAACCCCCGAUCGGCCGUGCGAACUGGGAGGCUUGAGCACUGUAGAGGCAGGCGGAAUUCCGGGUGUAGCGGCGGAAUGCGUAGAGAUCCGGAAGAACACCGAUAGCGAAGGCAGCUUACUAGACUGUAACUGACGCUGAUGCACGAAAGUGUGGGGAUCAAACAGGAGUUAGAAACCCUAAGUAU
RNAcentral lists this ribosomal RNA (272 nucleotides) under uncultured bacterium. RNAcentral's name for it is "partial 16S ribosomal RNA". It matches the Rfam family "Bacterial small subunit ribosomal RNA", at positions 524 to 793 of the family's 1533-position model. The record is from RNAcentral.